CCUACGGGAGGCUGCAGUGGGGAAUAUUGCACAAUGGGCGCAAGCCUGAUGCAGCCAUGCCGCGUGUGUGAAGAAGGCCUUCGGGUUGUAAAGCACUUUCAGCGGGGAGGAAGGCGGUGAGGUUAAUAACCUCAUCGAUUGACGUUACCCGCAGAAGAAGCACCGGCUAACUCCGUGCCAGCAGCCGCGGUAAUACGGAGGGUGCAAGCGUUAAUCGGAAUUACUGGGCGUAAAGCGCACGCAGGCGGUCUGUCAAGUCGGAUGUGAAAUCCCCGGGCUCAACCUGGGAACUGCAUUCGAAACUGGCAGGCUAGAAUCUUGUAGAGGGGGGUAGAAUUCCAGGUGGAGCGGUGAAAUGCGUAGAGAUCUGGAGGAAUACCGGUGGCGAAGGCGGCCCCCUGGACAAAGACUGACGCUCAGGUGCGAAAGCGUGGGGAGCAAACAGGAUUAGAUACCCGUGUAGUC
Molecule: ribosomal RNA, 465 nt
Filed under: uncultured Klebsiella sp.
Lineage: Bacteria; Pseudomonadati; Pseudomonadota; Gammaproteobacteria; Enterobacterales; Enterobacteriaceae
Description: bacterial SSU rRNA
Rfam family: Bacterial small subunit ribosomal RNA
Source: RNAcentral